Molecule: ribosomal RNA, 438 nt
Filed under: Staphylococcus sp.
Lineage: Bacteria; Bacillati; Bacillota; Bacilli; Caryophanales; Staphylococcaceae
Description: bacterial SSU rRNA
Rfam family: Bacterial small subunit ribosomal RNA
Source: RNAcentral
GGGUGAGUAACACGUGGAUAACCUACCUAUAAGACUGGGAUAACUUCGGGAAACCGGAGCUAAUACCGGAUAACAUAUUGAACCGCAUGGUUCAAUAGUGAAAGGCGGCUUUGCUGUCACUUAUAGAUGGAUCCGCGCCGUAUUAGCUAGUUGGUAAGGUAACGGCUUACCAAGGCAACGAUACGUAGCCGACCUGAGAGGGUGAUCGGCCACACUGGAACUGAGACACGGUCCAGACUCCUACGGGAGGCAGCAGUAGGGAAUCUUCCGCAAUGGGCGAAAGCCUGACGGAGCAACGCCGCGUGAGUGAUGAAGGUCUUCGGAUCGUAAAACUCUGUUAUCAGGGAAGAACAAAUGUGUAAGUAACUGUGCACAUCUUGACGGUACCUGAUCAGAAAGCCACGGCUAACUACGUGCCAGCAGCCGCGGUAAUACGUA